CUGUAGGCGGGUGAGGAAUCAGAAGUGUGCGUGGAGGAGCGAUGGGCAGGAUGCUGUGAAGGCUCCCAGGCUCCAGUGACCGUUGCUUCACAAGUCUGGUUGAGGCGCACUGAUGCUGCCUGAUUGUUCUCAGGCUCGCGUGAGUGAGGCUGAUGGAAGGGAAACUUCUCAGGGUUCACAUGGGCCUCAGCUCCAAGGGUUGGCGUGGGUCCUCAUCACUUUCCCAUCCCAGGCUGGCGGACUUUGGCUCUCCCCCAGACCGGAGCAGACUUGAGUGCUGAAGUGGGGAUGAAAAACGAGCAGCCUCACGUGCAUUAAAUAUUUAAUAUUCUCUCCCUGGGAGGUGUCAGGGAAAGGACCCUAUAAUAAAUACCGCACGGGACAAGUCCAUCACAGAGCUCGUCAGUAAUGGCCUCGUUUGCUUGACAGAAGCAUUACGGAUGCUGGGUCUGUGGCAUGUUUCAGGUGCCUCCCUCGAGCCUUGGACCCAAGAGGGCAGGGGACAGGCUGAAGAGAGUCCUCCAGGUUGUCAGUCUUUACCUGAAUACUUACAGAAUUUAUGGAAUUAUGGUUGUGCAGAUUCAUCUAAUAGAGAAUCAUAAUAGAAGAAUAGAAUUCAUCUAAUAGAAGAAAGCUUCAUCUAAUAAACACACACUUGCUACCUGCCAGGCCCUGUGGUACAUAUUCCAUGAAUAUCAAUUAUUUAGUCCUCUCUACUACUAUAUUAUGAUUACUACUUCCGCGUUAGAGGAAGGGAAACUGAGGCACAGAGAAUCUGCCGAACAACUCAUCUGCGUUAUCGAGAUCAUUUUGUACUGUAUAUAAAUGUUGAAUCACUAUGUUGUACAUCUGAAAGUAACGUUAUAUUGUACGUCAACCAUACUUCAAUUAAAAAAAAAACCCCCAAACUGAAAAAGUCACACUGCUGGUAAAUGUAAAAGGCAGGAUUUGAUUGAAGACAGGUGGGCUGGCUCCCAAGUCUGUGCCAUGCUGCAGGGGCUCUGGGGCUAGACAGCUGUGAGUUGGGAUCCCAGAUCCAUCGCUUACCAGCUGUGUGACCAUGGGCAAAGUGGCUCAACCUCUCUGAGCUUCAGUUGCUGUGUGUACAAGACUGGGACAAUACUAGUGCCGUCUCAUAGAAGUUGUGAGAACUGAGAAUUGAAUGAGGAGUUACAUGUAAAGCUUUAAUCACCACGUCGGUACAAGUUAACUCUUGUUACUUCCAGUGUGUCAUGUCCCAGUGUGCCCCGGUGGGCCAGGCUUGGGUCAAGAGGUCCCAGUGUGCCCAAGUAGGUCAUUUAGAGUCAGGAGACCCAUGGUCUCCUGCAGAUUCUCCGUCCUGUGCCACUUUCCUGGUACCAAACUGCCCUGUGCUACCUGAUGGGCUGUUUGCAUCCCUGGCAUUGUAACUGAACUGCUGUGGUCCAGGAAGGGGCAGCCUGACUCAGGCUCCUUGUAGAGAGAGAGUUCACAGCCCUGCGUGUUCAAACACGCCAGAGCCCUGGGCAGCCCAUGGUUCCCGGCAACAUUCUGGGGGCUCCGAGCGGCCCAGGGCUGCUGUGCUCUAACACCAGGCACUGUUCUGUUUGUGACCUUGGCUCUGGGCACAGUUAUGCAAGUCUGCUGCCUCUGUGGCCCUGGGUGAGAGUGUGGGAUGGGAGAGGAGGGGGUCUGGCCUGCAGGUGAGCCCAGGAGACCCCCCUGCUCGUAAUGGCAGCGAUUCUCUGGACAGCAAUGUCCAAAGGUCAUUCCAAAGGUCUCAGGCUCCAAGGGGCCACCCCUCUUCCCAAGGGUGCCAUGACCAGCCUGUUUUACACCUCGGAGC
This 1825-nucleotide long non-coding RNA is filed under the name Equus caballus (horse). Its description in RNAcentral is "lncRNA (ENSECAG00000051283.1)". The record is from RNAcentral. Lineage: Eukaryota; Metazoa; Chordata; Mammalia; Perissodactyla; Equidae.